AGCGCCGAAUCCGCCGCGGCCUACAGCCCGGCCGGAACUGUGGCGUGCGGGACGUGGCCAGUCGAUCGGGAGCGUACCCGAGUCCCCCCGAGCGGGGCCCAUCCCAUAGCGGGUGCCAGGCCUCUGCAGGUACGCAUCCGACCGGCCGCUACCGUCCCCGGAGUCGGGUCGCUUGGGAAUGCAGCCCGAAGCGGGUGGUAAACUCCACCUAAGGCUAAAUACCGGCGCGAGUCCGAUAGCGGACAAGUACCGCGAGGGAAAGUUGAAAAGAA
RNAcentral lists this ribosomal RNA (272 nucleotides) under Dendronotus shpataki. RNAcentral's name for it is "partial large subunit ribosomal RNA". It matches the Rfam family "Eukaryotic large subunit ribosomal RNA", at positions 111 to 373 of the family's 3401-position model. The record is from RNAcentral. Lineage: Eukaryota; Metazoa; Mollusca; Gastropoda; Nudibranchia; Dendronotidae.